GACGAACGCUGGCGGCGUGCCUAAUACAUGCAAGUCGAACGCAGUGGGGACGGGUGAGUAACACGUGGGUAACCUCCCAUCAGAGGGGAUAACACUUGGAAACAGGUGCUAAACCGAUACUGAUGGAUGGACGCGCGGUGCAUUAGCUAGUUGGGGGGGUAACGGCUAACCAAGGCCACGAUGCAUAGACGACCUGGCAGGGGGAUCGGCCAAACUGUGACUGAGACACGGCCCAGACUCCUACGGGAGGCAGCAGUGGGGAAUCUGCGGCAAUGGACGAAAGUCUGACCGAGCAACGCCGCGUGAGUGAAGAAGGUCUUCGGAUCGUAAAACUCUGUUGUUAGAGAAGCGGUAUCUAACCAGAAAGCCACGGCUAACUACGUGCCAGCAGCCGCGGUAAUUC
RNAcentral lists this ribosomal RNA (403 nucleotides) under uncultured bacterium. RNAcentral's name for it is "partial 16S ribosomal RNA". It matches the Rfam family "Bacterial small subunit ribosomal RNA", at positions 28 to 526 of the family's 1533-position model. The record is from RNAcentral.